AUUGGAUGAACCAAUCAGUUCGAAGUUGUAGAGUUUGGAGGUGGAUGUUACUAAAGGGAGGAAGUUGAUCACAAGUUUUCUUUCAGCAAUUGGUGAGUUACAGGGAUAUCAUGUGCAUAUGUAUGAGUCUGCUUUGCUUCGGUUGAAGAUAUAUGUGUGCCUGAAGAUACAAUCUUACAUGCAUUUUCUGUAUGAUAUGAUCACUAUUUCAUUCUCUGCGUGUACGUAGGUUGCAAGAAUGAGAAGGCUCCUCCGUGCUUAACAGGAAGAGACAGGGUCGCA
Long non-coding RNA from Triticum dicoccoides, 282 nucleotides. RefSeq lists it as uncharacterized. NCBI's taxonomy places the organism in Eukaryota, Viridiplantae, Streptophyta, Magnoliopsida, Poales, Poaceae. The transcript has 3 exons. The record is from RefSeq and is a predicted model, not a curated record.